RNAcentral lists this ribosomal RNA (493 nucleotides) under uncultured bacterium. Its description in RNAcentral is "bacterial SSU rRNA". It matches the Rfam family "Bacterial small subunit ribosomal RNA", at positions 15 to 507 of the family's 1533-position model. The record is from RNAcentral.
GAUCCUGGCUCAGAUUGAACGCUGGCGGAAUGCUUUACACAUGCAAGUCGAACGGUAGAGGGGGCAACCCCUCGAGAGUGGCGAACGGGUGAGUAAUAUAUCGGAACGUGCCCAGUCGUGGGGGAUAACGUAGCGAAAGUUACGCUAAUACCGCAUACGCACUGAGGUGGAAAGCAGGGGAUCGCAAGACCUUGCGCUAUACGAGCGGCCGAUGUCAGAUUAGCUAGUUGGUAGGGUAAAGGCCUACCAAGGCGACGAUCUGUAGCGGGUCUGAGAGGAUGAUCCGCCACACUGGGACUGAGACACGGCCCAGACUCCUACGGGAGGCAGCAGUGGGGAAUUUUGGACAAUGGGGGAAACCCUGAUCCAGCCAUGCCGCGUGAGUGAAGAAGGCCUUCGGGUUGUAAAGCUCUUUCGGCUGGGAAGAAAUCGCACAGGCUAAUACUCUGUGUGGAUGACGGUACCAGCACAAGAAGCACCGGCUAACUACGUG